GUGCAAAUACUUUGAAAAAGCUCAUGAAUUUUCUUGAGUCUAAGAAUACGAGAUUUCAGCAAAUAUGAGAGCUACAACAUUAUAGAUGAUCUCGUUGGAUUCAGAAAGACGCUAACUAAGUCAAAACCGUUGAAUUUUUUUAAUAUUAUGGCUAUAAAGCCGAGAUAUCAACGUAUGUCAAAAGUCCAUUAUUUGGCAUUCUAUUGCAUCUCGAAUAGGGGGUCAGAAGUGCCGUUUUUGAAUUUCUACCGCAUCUCACCUUAUUGUAACAUUCUGAAUUUUCUGGAAAAAUUGUUUUUUGGACGUAAUUACACCAAUUAUAGACGGGCAACAUCAUUUUAUAGCGAUCGUCUAUGAAUUCUGGAAGUCUGAGUGACAUUUAUACCGAUUUAAGGGUCAAAAGUGUCUUUUUUGACUUUCUACCGCAUCUCACUUUAUUGAAACAUUCUGGAUCUUCUGGAAAAAUUAUUUUUUGAACGUAACUGGACCAACUACAGACGAGAGACAUAAUUUCAUAACGAUCGUCCAUGAAUUCUAGAAGUCUGAGUGACAUUUAUACCGAUUUGAGGGUCAAAAGUGUCUUUUUUCACUUUCUACCGCAUCUCACUUUAUUGUAACAUUUUGGAUCUUCUGGAAAAAUUUAUUUUUCGACGUGACUGGACCAAUUACAGACGAGAGACAUAAUUUCAUAGCGAUCGUCCACGAAUUCUGGAAGUCUGAGUGACAUUUAUACCGAAUUGGGGGUCAAAAGUGUCUUUUUUCACUUUCUACCGCAUCUCACCUUAUUGUAACAUUCUGGAUCUUCUGGAAAAAUUAUUUUUUAGACGUAACUGGACCAACUACAGACGAGAGACAUAAUUUCAUAACAAUCGUCCAUGAAUUCUGGAAGUCUGAGUGACGUUUAUACUGAAUUGGGAGUUAAAAGUGUCUUUUUUCACUUUCUACCGCAUCUCACCUUAUUGUAACAUUCUGGAUCAUCUGGAAAAAUCAUUUUUUGUACGUGACUGAACCAACUUAAGACGGGAGACAUAAUUUCAUAGCGAUCGUCCACGAAUUCUGGAAGUCUGACUGACAUUUAUACCGAAUUGGGAGUCAAAAGUGUCUUUUUUCACUUUCUACCGCAUCUCACCUUAUUGUAACAUUCUGGAUCUUCUGGAAAAAUUAUUUUUUAGACGUAACUGGACCAACUAAAGACGAGAGACAUAAUUUCAUAGCGAUCGUCCACGAAUUCUGGAAGUCUGAGUGACAUUUAUACCGAUUUGAGGGUCAAAAGUGCGUUUUUUCAUUUUCUACUGCAUCUCACCUUAUUGUAACAUUCUGGAUCUUCUGGAAAAAUUAUUUUUUGGACGUAACUAGACCAACUACAGACGAGAGACAUAAUUUCAUAGCGAUCUCUGAGUCACAUUUAUACCGAUUUGAGGGUCAAAAAUGUAACUGGACCAACUACAGACGAGAGACAUAAUUUCAUAGCGAUCGUCCAUGAAUCCUGGAAGUCUGAAUGACAUUUAUACUGAAUUGGGAGUCAAAAGUACCUUUUUUCACUUUCUCACCCAAAAAUGUUAUUUUUAGUGAUGUUAUUGAACUUUAUCCUUACAUAAUAUUAGGCAAUAAGAAAUGUUAAAUAAAACGCAGUAAGUUAUAUAUA
Molecule: long non-coding RNA, 1645 nt
Organism: Anthonomus grandis grandis
Lineage: Eukaryota; Metazoa; Arthropoda; Insecta; Coleoptera; Curculionidae
Exons: 2
Source: RefSeq, a predicted model, not a curated record